CUAAACGACUCUCGGCAACGGAUAUCUCGGCUCUCGCAUCGAUGAAGAACGUAGCGAAAUGCGAUACUUGGUGUGAAUUGCAGAAUCCCGUGAACCAUCGAGUCUUUGAACGCAAGUUGCGCCCGAAGCCUCUCGGCUGAGGGCACGUCUGCCUGGGCGUCACGCA
RNAcentral lists this ribosomal RNA (166 nucleotides) under Pterygiella duclouxii. RNAcentral's name for it is "5.8S ribosomal RNA". It matches the Rfam family "5.8S ribosomal RNA". Rfam says of the family: 5.8S ribosomal RNA (5.8S rRNA) is a component of the large subunit of the eukaryotic ribosome. It is transcribed by RNA polymerase I as part of the 45S precursor that also contains 18S and 28S rRNA. The record is from RNAcentral. Lineage: Eukaryota; Viridiplantae; Streptophyta; Magnoliopsida; Lamiales; Orobanchaceae.